RNAcentral lists this ribosomal RNA (438 nucleotides) under uncultured bacterium. RNAcentral's name for it is "bacterial SSU rRNA". It matches the Rfam family "Bacterial small subunit ribosomal RNA", at positions 338 to 771 of the family's 1533-position model. The record is from RNAcentral.
CCUACGGGUGGCUGCAGUCGAGAAUCUUCGGCAAUGGGCGCAAGCCUGACCGAGCGACGCCGCGUGCGGGAUGAAGGCCUUCGGGUUGUAAACCGCUGUCGAGGGGGAGGAAAUGCAUGGGGGCACUCCCCUGUGUUUGACCUAUCUCUGGAGGAAGCUUGGGCUAAGUUCGUGCCAGCAGCCGCGGUAAGACGAACCAAGCAAACGUUGUUCGGAAUCACUGGGCUUAAAGGGCGCGUAGGCGGUUCGCCAAGUCCGGGGUGAAAUCUUUCGGCUCAACCGGAAAAGUGCCUUGGAAACUGGCGGGCUAGAAGGAGGUAGGGGUUGCGGGAACGACCAGUGGAGCGGUGAAAUGCGUUGAUAUUGGUCGGAACGCCGGUGGCGAAAGCGCGCAACUGGACCUUACUUGACGCUGAUGCGCGAAAGCCAGGGUAGCGA